This 403-nucleotide ribosomal RNA is filed under the name uncultured Gammaproteobacteria bacterium. RNAcentral describes it as "bacterial SSU rRNA". It matches the Rfam family "Bacterial small subunit ribosomal RNA", at positions 9 to 416 of the family's 1533-position model. The record is from RNAcentral. Lineage: Bacteria; Pseudomonadati; Pseudomonadota; Gammaproteobacteria.
GAGUUUGAUCCUGGCUCAGAUUGAACGCUGGCGGCAGGCCUAACACAUGCAAGUCGAGCGGCAGCGCGGGGCAACCUGGCGGCGAGCGGCGGACGGGUGAGUAACGCGUAGGAAUCUACCCAGUAGCGGGGGAUAGCCCGGGGAAACUCGGAUUAAUACCGCAUACGCCCUAAGGGGGAAAGCAGGGGAUCUUCGGACCUUGCACUAUUGGCAGAGCCUGCGUUGGAUUAGCUAGUUGGUAGGGUAAAGGCCUACCAAGGCGACGAUCCAUAACUGGUCUGAGAGGAUGAUCAGUCACACCGGAACUGAGACACGGUCCGGACUCCUACGGGAGGCAGCAGUGGGGAAUAUUGGACAAUGGGGGCAACCCUGAUCCAGCCAUGCCGCGUGUGUGAAGAAGGCC